CAAAUUAAAGCUUAUUUUAAGUUUUUUAGUUACAUUAAAAAGAAAAUUGUUUAAAUCAAUUUAAUUUGA
RNAcentral lists this transfer RNA (69 nucleotides) under Aleochara postica. RNAcentral's name for it is "tRNA-Val". The record is from RNAcentral. Lineage: Eukaryota; Metazoa; Arthropoda; Insecta; Coleoptera; Staphylinidae.